AGUGAACGCUGGCGGUAGGCCUAACACAUGCAAGUCGAACGGCAGCACAGUAAGAGCUUGCUCCUACGGGUGGCGAGUGGCGGACGGGUGAGGAAUACAUCGGAAUCUACUUUUUCGUGGGGGAUAACGUAGGGAAACUUACGCUAAUACCGCAUACGACCUACGGGUGAAAGAAGGGGAUCUUCGGACCUUGCGCGAUUGAAUGAGCCGAUGUCGGAUUAGCUAGUUGGCGGGGUAAAGGCCCACCAAGGCGACGAUCCGUAGCUGGUCUGAGAGGAUGAUCAGCCACACUGGAACUGAGACACGGUCCAGACUCCUACGGGAGGCAGCAGUGGGGAAUAUUGGACAAUGGGCGCAAGCCUGAUCCAGCCAUACCGCGUGGAUGAAGAAGGCCUUCGGGUUGUAAAGCCCUUUUGUUGGGAAAGAAAAGAAGCAGGUUAAUACCCCGCUGUUCUGACGGUACCCAAAGAAUAAACACCGGCAAACUUCGU
Molecule: ribosomal RNA, 491 nt
Filed under: uncultured bacterium
Lineage: Bacteria
Description: partial 16S ribosomal RNA
Rfam family: Bacterial small subunit ribosomal RNA
Source: RNAcentral